GAGGAAUAUUGGUCAAUGGGUGCAAGCCUGAACCAGCCAUCCCGCGUGAAGGACGACUGCCCUAUGGGUUGUAAACUUCUUUUGUAUAGGUAUAAACCUACCCUCGUGAGGGUAGCUGAAGGUACUAUACGAAUAAGCACCGGCUAACUCCGUGCCAGCAGCCGCGGUAAUACGGAGGGUGCAAGCGUUAUCCGGAUUUAUUGGGUUUAAAGGGUCCGUAGGCGGACUUAUAAGUCAGUAGUGAAAGCCUGUCGCUUAACGAUAGAACUGCCAUGGAUACUGUAAGUCUUGAGUAUAUUUGAGGUAGCUGGAAUAAGUAGUGUAGCGGUGAAAUGCAUAGAUAUUACUUAGAACACCAAUUGCGAAGGCAGGUUACCAAGAUAUAACUGACGCUGAGGGACGAAAGCGUGGGGAGCGAAC
Molecule: ribosomal RNA, 420 nt
Filed under: uncultured bacterium
Lineage: Bacteria
Description: bacterial SSU rRNA
Rfam family: Bacterial small subunit ribosomal RNA
Source: RNAcentral